AAUCCUCAAAAUCCUCUUCUUUGAGGAUUUUUGGACUUGGAGGUUUAAUGCUCGCUUUCGCGUUCGAAGGCGAGCUCCUCUCAAAAGAAUCAGUGGGGUCUGCUUUGCUGGUCCUUGACGUGAUAAGAUGUUUCUACGUUUCGGAUUCGGCAUCGUCCCCGCUUCCAAUCGUCCCAUGGACAACGAUGGUGCUUUCGGUCGCCGCCACCCUACGUUGGCGGGAGGCCGGACCCACGAAACGAA
RNAcentral lists this unclassified non-coding RNA (243 nucleotides) under uncultured Russula. RNAcentral's name for it is "sequence contains ITS2". Lineage: Eukaryota; Fungi; Basidiomycota; Agaricomycetes; Russulales; Russulaceae. The record is from RNAcentral.